Molecule: long non-coding RNA, 1730 nt
Filed under: Octopus sinensis (East Asian common octopus)
Lineage: Eukaryota; Metazoa; Mollusca; Cephalopoda; Octopoda; Octopodidae
Description: uncharacterized LOC118764362
Source: RNAcentral
UAUUAAUCCUAACUUAUAUAUAUAUAUAUUCAUAUAUAUGUAUGUAUUUAUGUAUAAGCAUGUGUCUUUGUAUCUUUCUCUUUAUCUCUCACUACUUGACAAACAGUAUUGAGUUGUUUACAAUCCUAUAACUUGGUGAUUCAGUAAAAGGAGUCUGAUAGUACUGGGUGGGGAGGGGGCAGUUUGAAGGCAAUACCCAGGUUUGUCUGCUGUAUAAUGAUUGAAACCGGUUAAAAUGAAUAAAGCACGUCAUUAUAGAUCAUCAAAGAACCACUUAUCUUCACUUAUCAUAUCUAGCUUCCUGAGAUGUUUGCCAAGGCACAAAGCUAUGUUUGUCACAAAAUGACAGACUUGUGUAUCAUAUAACAUAAUCAUAUUCUUCAAGAGUGAAAAUAUAAUAUUAGUAUCAAUCCCAACUCACACAUUGGAUUAAUAACCCCCUAAACUAAAGAUAUAUCUUGACACUAAGGCAGCAACAAUGUUGAAGUUUAUGUUCAUUUACUUGAGAUUUAGAUACUUCCUUCCUCCAUGAACUGUUGCUGUUAUUGUUGUUCAUUUUCCCUUUAUAAAUAUGUUUAUAAUCAUUUUUAAGAACAACUGGUAAUACAAAGCACACACAUACAACAUAUUUAUAUAUAUAUAUAUAUAUAUAUAUAUAUAUUAUAUAUAUAUAAUAUGUGUGUGUGUGUGUGUGUGUGUGUUUUGUCUCUGAGUUUGUCUCCCCGUCACAUAACAGCUGAUCUUGGUACGUUUAUGUUCCCGUAACUUAACAGUUCAGCAAAAGAAACCGAUAGAAUAAAUACUAGGCUUACAAAGAAUAAGUACUGGAGUCAAUUUCUUCAACUAAAACUUUUUAAAGUGGUGCUCCAGCAGAGCUGCAGUCAAAUGACUGAAACAAUUAAAAGAAUGGAAGAAUGAAAAGAAAGAAUGUGUGUGUGUGUUGUGUGUGUGUGUGCGCGUGCGUGUGUGUGUGUGUGUGUUGUACUUUUUUCAUACACACUGUCUCUAGAUCUACUUUUCACAAUUUGUAUUUCCUGUUUAUUUUUAUAUUAAUAUUUUUGUUAUUUUCUUAAGAUGAGUGGGGUUUAUGGAAAAUCUGACUGCUUCCAGCAUGUAGAGUGACCAUUAUAGGAAGCAACACCUCGUCUACAUGGGAACAGUGUGUGUGUGUGUGUGUGUGAGAGAGAGGCAAAAAGACAGGCAGACAGAGAAGAGAGAAACAGUUGAAUACAUUUGCAGUGGUUUAGCUUUGUAUCCAAUAUCAACAUGAUUGAAAUUAUCAAAUACUCUGGCAGAAAAUCAAUAAGAUAUGUACGAGCAUAACCAUUUCGCAUUAGAGUUAAUUUGAUAUUUUAAACCACAAGAAACCCAGAAUAAAGAGCAGAGACUGUAAAACAAAGAGAUUUCUUUAAAUUGUUUUCAAAUACUUUUGUUAAUUAUUGUUUGAAAUAUUUAGAGUUUACAUUACAUUAGUAAUCAAAAAUAUACACCUGUUAUCAAUGUUAAACACCACACCCACCUCACAGAUGUACAUCUCUCCAUUGUUAAUUAUGUGUGCAUAUCUAUAUACACACACACAUGCACACCAUACAUAUAUACUUCUUAGUUCCAGAAACAUCAGUGAUAUUUCAAUGUUUCUGAGGGUCUUCAUGAGGUUUUAGGUCUUUCAAUACAAGACUCAUGCAGGCUGGCCCACCCAGGGUUGAUCAAGUCCCAGCUUGCAGCCCAGU